GAUGAAGAACGCAGCGAAAUGCGAUAAGUAAUGUGAAUUGCAGAAUUCAGUGAAUCAUCGAAUCUUUGAACGCACAUUGCGCCCCCUGGUAUUCCGGGGGGCAUGCCUGUUCGAGCGUCAUUUCACCACUCAAGCCUCGCUUGGUAUUGGGCAACGCGGUCCGCCGCGUGCCUCAAAUCGACCGGCUGGGUCUUCUGUCCCCUAAGCGUUGUGGAAACUAUUCGCUAAAGGGUGUUCGGGAGGCUACGCCGUAAAACAACACCAUUUCUAAGGUUGACCUCGGAUCAGGUAGGGAUACCCGCUGAACUUAAGCAUAUCAAAAGCGGAGGA
Molecule: unclassified non-coding RNA, 330 nt
Filed under: soil metagenome
Description: partial contains 5.8S ribosomal RNA, internal transcribed spacer 2, and large subunit ribosomal RNA
Rfam family: 5.8S ribosomal RNA (bases 1-120)
Source: RNAcentral